Molecule: long non-coding RNA, 575 nt
Filed under: Homo sapiens (human)
Lineage: Eukaryota; Metazoa; Chordata; Mammalia; Primates; Hominidae
Description: HSALNT0111333
Source: RNAcentral
AGAAUAGCUAUAAUAUAGACUGUUUUUACAUUUUUUUACUUAUAAUGUACCAUUUAAUUAUAUUACUUCAUUGGGAAAUAUUUUAACCCUCAUUAUAAGUUACUGCACAAUUUCUCUAGAAUUCCUGGGGAUUUCUAGGAACUACUAAAUUAAUAAAUAUGAAGCUAUAGACAGAGUCAAAUUGCUUUGCAUAAAAUUGUUCCAAAUUAUGUUUCCCCAGUAAUAUACAAAAUCCAUGUCAUUGUUUCCUCAGUAUUUUCUGUUGUUUUAAUUUUUACUUCAGAAAUUUAUAUUCAUAUUUGUUAACCAUUUAUAUUUCUUCUUUUUUGAGGUGACUAUUUUUGUCUUUUGCCCGUUUUUCUAAAUGGUUAUAUCAAUUAUAUAGUCUCUGUAUAAACUUUCUAUAUUAGUCUCUUAUUUUUCAUAUAUUUUACAAAUUGAGUGGUUUGUCUUCUAAGUCAGCUUGCUGUUUUUGAAGUAAAGGUAUUUUUCAUAUUUUUGCAGUCAAAUCAUUAUUUUCUCUUUGUUGCUUUCUUCCUUCACUUUUAGGCUUAAAAAGUCUUUCUCUCAAUCAG